GAUGAACGCUGGCGGCGUGCCUAAUACAUGCAAGUCGAGCGAACGGACGAGAAGCUUGCUUCUCUGAUGUUAGCGGCGGACGGGUGAGUAACACGUGGAUAACCUACCUAUAAGACUGGGAUAACUUCGGGAAACCGGAGCUAAUACCGGAUAAUAUUUUGAACCGCAUGGUUCAAAAGUGAAAGACGGUCUUGCUGUCACUUAUAGAUGGAUCCGCGCUGCAUUAGCUAGUUGGUAAGGUAACGGCUUACCAAGGCAACGAUGCAUAGCCGACCUGAGAGGGUGAUCGGCCACACUGGAACUGAGACACGGUCCAGACUCCUACGGGAGGCAGCAGUAGGGAAUCUUCCGCAAUGGGCGAAAGCCUGACGGAGCAACGCCGCGUGAGUGAUGAAGGUCUUCGGAUCGUAAAACUCUGUUAUUAGGGAAGAACAUAUGUGUAAGUAACUGUGCACAUCUUGACGGUACCUAAUCAGAAAGCCACGGCUAACUACGUGCCAGCAGCCGCGGUAAUACGUAGGUGGCAAGCGUUAUCCGGAAUUAUUGGGCGUAAAGCGCGCGUAGGCGGUUUUUUAGUCUGAUGUGAAAGCCCACGGCUCAACCGUGGAGGGUCAUUGGAAACUGGAAAACUUGAGUGCAGAAGAGGAAAGUGGAAGUCCAUGUGUAGCGGUGAAAUGCGCAGAGAUAUGGAGGAACACCAGUGGGGAAGGCGACUUUCUGGUCUGUAACUGACGCUGAUGUGCGAAGGCGUGGGGAUCAAACAGGAUUAGAUACCCUGGUAGUCCACGCCGUAAACGAUGAGUGCUAAGUGUUAGGGGGUUUCCGCCCCCUUAGUGCUGCAGCUAACGCAGUAAGCACUCCGCCUGGGGAGUACGACCGCGAGGUUGAAACUCAAAGGAAUUGACGGGGACCCGCACAAGCGGUGGAGCAUGUGGUUUAAUUCGAAGCAACGCGAAGAACCUUACCAAAUCUUGACAUCCUUUGACCCUUCUAGAGAUAGAAGUUUCCCCUUCGGGGGACAAAGUGACAGGUGGUGCAUGGUUGUCGUCAGCUCGCGUCGUGAGAUGUUGGGUUAAGUCCCGCAACGAGCGCAACCCUUAAGCUUAGUUGCCAUCAUUAAGUUGGGCACUCUAAGUUGACUGCCGGUGACAAACCGGAGGAAGGUGGGGAUGACGUCAAAUCAUCAUGCCCCUUAUGAUUUGGGCUACACACGUGCUACAAUGGACAAUACAAAGGGCAGCGAAACCGCGAGGUCAAGCAAAUCCCAUAAAGUUGUUCUCAGUUCGGAUUGUAGUCUGCAACUCGACUACAUGAAGCUGGAAUCGCUAGUAAUCGUAGAUCAGCAUGCUACGGUGAAUACGUUCCCGGGUCU
RNAcentral lists this ribosomal RNA (1372 nucleotides) under uncultured bacterium. RNAcentral's name for it is "bacterial SSU rRNA". It matches the Rfam family "Bacterial small subunit ribosomal RNA", at positions 28 to 1381 of the family's 1533-position model. The record is from RNAcentral.